Molecule: ribosomal RNA, 253 nt
Filed under: uncultured bacterium
Lineage: Bacteria
Description: partial 16S ribosomal RNA
Rfam family: Bacterial small subunit ribosomal RNA
Source: RNAcentral
UACGAAGGGUGCUAGCGUUGUUCGGAAUCACUGGGCGUAAAGCGCGCGUAGGCGGCUUUUCAAGUCAGAGGUGAAAUCCUGGAGCUCAACUCCAGAACUGCCUUUGAUACUGAAGAUCUUGAGUUCGGGAGAGGUGAGUGGAACUGCGAGUGUAGAGGUGAAAUUCGUAGAUAUUCGCAAGAACACCAGUGGCGAAGGCGGCUCACUGGCCCGAUACUGACGCUGAGGCACGAAAGCGUGGGGAGCAAACAGG